This is a long non-coding RNA of Gadus chalcogrammus (walleye pollock), 325 nucleotides long. RefSeq lists it as uncharacterized. The record is from RefSeq and is a predicted model, not a curated record. The transcript is spliced from 4 exons. Lineage: Eukaryota; Metazoa; Chordata; Actinopteri; Gadiformes; Gadidae.
CAUGAGGGCGAUUCCGUUUAGAUACACGCUGUUUAGAUUUAUGUUACUUGCACUCUGUUUCAGUUACACAAGUAAUAGCACGACCUGCAGCAGCUGUACUGUUAAGUUACCAGGCAGCGUUCCAUCUGGAAACUCCUCAUAGUGACCUUUCCUUUUCUGCGUUGGAUGCUUACAGAUGCCCUCUUCUAUGCCCGGAGACACAAUGGUGCAUUUCCUAGUGGAACCGCUUCAAAAAGGACUCAGCAGAUCUCGUUUCUCUCUGAACCUCCGAGUUGGAGUCUGAGCUGGCUGAAUCAAUACACCGUGCAAGAAACUGACUGAAUGG